GACAGAGGGUGCGAACGUUGUUCGGAAUUACUGGGCGUAAAGCGCGUGUAGGCUGUCCGGCAAGUCGGGUGUGAAAGCCCUGGGCUCAACCUAGGAAGUGCACUCGAAACUCCCGGACUCGGGUCCCGGAGAGGAAGGCGGAAUUCUCGGUGUAGAGGUGAAAUUCGUAGAUAUCGAGAGGAACAUCGGUGGCGAAGGCGGCCUUCUGGACGGUGACUGACGCUGAGACGCGAAAGCGUGGGGAGCAAACAGG
This 253-nucleotide ribosomal RNA is filed under the name uncultured bacterium. Its description in RNAcentral is "partial 16S ribosomal RNA". It matches the Rfam family "Bacterial small subunit ribosomal RNA", at positions 524 to 776 of the family's 1533-position model. The record is from RNAcentral.